Molecule: ribosomal RNA, 254 nt
Filed under: uncultured bacterium
Lineage: Bacteria
Description: partial 16S ribosomal RNA
Rfam family: Bacterial small subunit ribosomal RNA
Source: RNAcentral
UACGGGGGGGGUAAGCGUUGUUCGGAAUUACUGGGCGUAAAGGGCUCGUAGGCGGCCAACUAAGUCAUACGUGAAAUCCCUCAGCUUAACUGGGGAACUGCGUGUGAUACUGGAUGGCUUGGAUUUGGGAGAGGGAUGCGGAAUUCCAGGUGUAGCGGUGAAAUGCGUAGAUAUCUGGAGGAAUACCGGUGGCGAAGGCGGCAUCCUGGACCGGCAUUGACGCUGAGUGAGCGAAAGCCAGGGGAGCAAACGGG